RNAcentral lists this ribosomal RNA (497 nucleotides) under uncultured bacterium. Its description in RNAcentral is "partial 16S ribosomal RNA". It matches the Rfam family "Bacterial small subunit ribosomal RNA", at positions 28 to 507 of the family's 1533-position model. The record is from RNAcentral.
GAUGAACGCUGGCGGCGUGCCUAAUACAUGCAAGUCGAGCGAACAGACGAGGAGCUUGCUCCUCUGACGUUAGCGGCGGACGGGUGAGUAACACGUGGAUAACCUACCUAUAAGACUGGGAUAACUUCGGGAAACCGGAGCUAAUACCGGAUAAUAUAUUGAACCGCAUGGUUCAAUAGUGAAAGACGGUUUUGCUGUCACUUAUAGAUGGAUCCGGGCCGUAUUAGCUAGUUGGUAAGGUAACGGCUUACCAAGGCAACGAUGCGUAGCCGACCUGAGAGAGUGAUCGGCGACACGAGAAGGGGGACGCGGUCCAGACUACUAAGGGAGGCAGCAGUAGGGAAUCGGACGCAAUGGGCGAAAGCCUUGCGGAGCAACGCCGCGUGAGAGAUGAAGGUCUUCGGAUCGUAAAACUCUGUUAUUAGGGGAGAACAAAUGUGUAAGUAAAUAUGCACGGCGUGACGGUACCUAAUCAGAAAGCCACGGCUAACUACGUG